CUGGAGCCAGCGCAGGACGGUACGAGACAGGCGGGAGCUCCUCGGGGGAUGCGGAUACAUCACACAUUUCUUAGGCUUCUUUCGGACGGAAACCGCUGACGGUAAAGGUCCUCCCCCCACCGUGAAGUGAUGAGCAGAACAGUCACAUGGCUGUCACAGGACUGGACACUCCAAGGGAACACCUUGGACACAUCUUCAUGUUACAGAAGCAGCGAUGGAUUUUGAAGCAAACUGAAGCUGCAACAUAUUUGAAGCCUAGAGUCUCCCGACUUCACAGGUGCUAGAAGGCCUUGGGUGUUUAAGCCAUGUGGCCUAGACAAUGUCUACUUCAGGACUGGUGGUUUGAACUGAAUACUGUUAUCUAAAUAGUUCCCCUGGUGAACCUGAGAUCCAUAGAGAACUGAUGGAAGAAUCUGAUUAAGAAAUCACUGUACCUGAUGUGGGGGUUGGAGUCACCACAGACGACCUCACUAAUCGAUAACUCUGAGUGCGUAUGUGAAGUGGAGGAAGCCAAAUCUGAAGCAGAACCUACAAGGAAAGCCUGCAACCAUCUCUGUCCCUGAAUAUGCUCUUACUCUAUGACAGGCGACAAGAGGAGAGCUGGUGUCCUCCAUAAAACUGUUUAUAGGCCUGACUUGGGGACACCAGCAGAUUGAAAGGGGGAGAUCAGGUGGAGCAUAGGUAGCUGUAGAUCUGGAUGUCUGAACUGACUAGUGGCAUUUGCAAACAGCCACAAUACCUGCUGCCCUACACUAACUCCACAGGGUAAAACUGGCCGCUUUGUUAUGCUGCUAGCGAAACUUAUACUAACUGGUCUGGCCAAUUCAAUACAGAAAACACACACACACACACACACACACACACACACACACACACACACACACACACACACACACACACACACAAAUGAGAGUAGUUCUAGCAUAAUGAAGGCAACACAUCACAAAACCUCACCAAGUGGCAGCUAAACAACACCAAGAAGAGAACCACAGCUGGAAUGGUUUUAAAAUAGAGGAGGUUGUUACCAGAAAGCAUACAGCUCUAACAGGCAGAAGCCAAAAGUGUCCUUUCUGAUGACCUUUAUUCCAUGCUGAAUAUUGUUGGGUCGCUCUCCCUGACUGUCUACAUCUUCUCAAUACCUGCUCUACUAGUAAGAGCAGUGGUUCUCCCAUGUACACCAAGGAGUAAGUGUUCAUCUUUGUGGACAAAAAGGACACUAAAAAUGAUCUAGCAGCAUUUUCUAAGUCCAUUUAAGUGUGUUUGGUGGAGGUGAUGGAAGCAAAUGCAAAUAAGAUAACUUGACCCACCAUGUGCUCCAACUCAGCGCGGGAGAUACUUGAGAAGAAGUACAUGAUGGAAGUAUCUAUCAUUUGCAAGUCCAUAAGAAGAGCCCUAAAAUAAUUGCCAUUUGCAGAUCUGUUGAGUACAUUCUGGAAGUUCAGAGAAAUGAUGGGUUGGCCGAGGUCAUGAGCACAACCAUGUCAAGAGAUAACUGGGGCUCUCUAUGCUGAAAGCUUUCGUGGUACAGAAAUAAUUAACUACAAGUCAAAAUAUGAAGAACGUAUUACAUUUUAGAACUAGAAGCAGACUUAGGUACUGUCUACUCCAGAGGCUCACAAAACACCUUCAGAAAGCCUUAGGCACUUAAGAGAACUGCCAGAGGGUGCUGGGAUGUGCAGCACAGUGUCUUCACACAGAGGAGCGUCCAAGGUAUCAGCUUCUGAAGUGAACUUCCAGAUCAUUUCAAAAGAAAGGGUCGAUGAGGUUGGGGGUAAGUGGGUGGGAUUCAAACACAACUGAUCCUGUCUCACGAAUUUUGCUGAUGAAACUGAUGUUAAGAAAAGUAAAGUGUUAGGCUACGUUACCACCAAGAUUAAGAGCAAAGCAACAGUGAAUCUAGGGUUUCUGAUGUUACCUUAAGCUCUUUCUACCAUACUAUUUUGCUACCCGGCACUACAGGCUAACAUAUCUGAACCAGCGAAUACAAAAUAAGGAACACGAAACCAUAUUUAAUCACCAAUACCACAUAUAUCAUGAAACAUUGUCUAAGUUCUUAAAGGGACAGCUUUAGGAUAGCCUCCAGCACUUGUGUACGAACAAAGUGUUUACUAAGCUCACAAAGGAACACUUUUGUUACAUGCUAUACUUUGUUCACAUACAUUUCUAUCUAUCUCUACAGGUUGCCAGCUUGAAAUCUUAGAAGGGUCACAAAUCUGUAGAUGAAGUAAAAUUAGCAACUUGUCUAGUCUGAAUACAACAGCUGCUAGGGAAACAAAUAUGAUAUGCACCAUAGACAAGAACUUAAUGUAUUUUACAUAUAACCCUUCUCCACAGAAUUCUAGCCACACAAUUUUUUUUUUUUUUUACCAUGACUAAGCACAUGCUCAUACAAGGCUUGGUUUCUGGCAGCUGUUAAGAUGUUUUAUGUUGACUUUUUCCACAUGAAAGUUGAGUGUAUUUGCAAAAUCACUUAAGAACAGAAAACAAAGAAAACCACAAAUCAUAUGGACCUCAAUUCUAACGUUAAACGCCAAGUUGGCAUCUUGUCCACUUUGGCAGAUCAGCCGUGAAUGUUGUUCAAGCACUGUCUUUGUCAAAAAGAAGGCCUAACCCACUGGGGAGAAUGGUGUUCUCUCCUUCCCUGUCAUUAAGAUGACGACAGGAGAAUCCUAAGGAUUCCCAACAAUAGACAUAAAGCAUUCCUUCAGAAACCUCCAGAUGAAUAAACCAGCUGUGUAUGAGGGCCAAAGCACAGGUAAAGUCUAAAGAUGUGAAGUCCUUACCGUAAGAGCUGUUUCCUCCUAACUCAACCAAUCCCUGUCGAAGAAAGGGAGGCUCUUAAGACUCCAAAAGCUAGUUGAAUUGUCAAGGCUCAGGAAGCUCAUGAAACUUAAUAGUCUCAAAAAAGUUACAUGAUUCAAACAGACCCUGACCAACCUUAUAAACCUACUAAACAAUUGCAGGAGAGAAAAGCAAAUCUCCAGUGGAGCUGCCUGCAGUUUGGGCAGGGAGCUGGAUGAAUGCAGCUUUUGUAAAUCAACACACAUGCUCUUCAGUCCAGCAGGAGCAAAUGUUUGACAAGAUUUAAAAAGACUGAUAAUAGCCGGGCGGUGGUGGCGCACGCCUUUAAUCCCAGCACUCGGGAGGCAGAGCCAGGCGGAUCUCUGUGAGUUCGAGGCCAGCCUGGGCUACCAAGUGAGUUCCAAGAAAGGCGCAAAGCUACACAGAGAAACCCUGUCUCGGAAAACCAAAAAAAAAAAAAAGACUGAUAAUAAAUUUUUAAAAAGUGAGUCAUUUUUGUUCAAAGAAUUUCUGUGAAGGAAAAUUCCUUUGACAUGGUAAGAUUAUAGAAGAAAUUCUUGCAAAAAUGUUUAAAACUUCCAUCUGUGAGUGAGGCUGUCUGAACAGAAUUCUGCUUAGCUCCUAGUCAACUAGCUAGUCACUUUGCACUGCUUUGCUCCAGUUCUAUGUGAUAGCUCAGGACGGCUCAUCUUCCUUCAUGGAGGAUAUCACAGUAUCCAAAAUUACCAAAGAUAUCCUGAAUCUCCAGUAUAAAAUUCACUGCUUAUCUUGUUUGGGUUUUUGGCCAGCUUUGUGUUUUGUAGAUUCUUUGAAUAAUUCGGACUCUCUGCUACUCAUCCUUCUGCAUGGUGGAGGCCAGUAGAGAGAGCAGGCAGGGUGGUGGGACGGAGAAUCACGAAUCUGAGCUUGGAUUUUUUCCCCUAUUCAUUCUCUUUUGUCAGUGUGAAGGACUAGCGUAGAAGUAGCUGCUGGGAGUAGCAAAAGUUUGCAGCCAACAGAACCUGACUUGAAAUCGCUCCACUUCUAGAUGUCUAACGAACACAUAAUAACUUACUAAAUACUACAGGGCCCCCAUUGAUUAGUAUAAAACUGACAUAUCAACUCAAACACUUCAGUUCUGAAAUUACCUGUUGAAUUAAUACAGUUGGAAUACAAGGCAAGCUUAGUAGAUACAAUCUGGCAUGAUUACAUGCUUCUUAGCAAACAUAGUUUGUUAUUAGAAUUUCAAAGUGUUUUCUUUUUUUAAUUUUUAAUUUUUUGGAAUUUCAUUCAUGACUAUGCUGUAUUUAUAUCAUUUCUAACCCUCAUUCUUUCUCCUCUAACUACUUCCAUGUCCUCUCCAUCCUCUCUCAAAUUUGUGAACUCUUCUUCUAGAAUAAUUAUUGUUACACACACACACACACACACACACACACACACACACACACACACACAAACUGGAUCCAAUUAGUGUUGUCAUUAUGUUCAAAUGUUUAGGGCUAGCCACUUAGGAUUAGAUACCCUAUCAGCAGUUUCACUACUAAAUUAUAGCAAGUUAUAUAAGUUAUAUACCAUUUUGAUAUUUUAAAAUAACACUGUAAUGUAAAAAGCUAACAUUUAUGCAGUGCAAGCUCUAAGUCAUGUAUAGUAGGAAGUGGUUUCGGUAAUUUUACACAACUUAUCUCGAAUGUAAGAUUUAGACUAAUCCAUUAGAGUAAAGGUUGUUAUUUUUAUUUUACUGAUGAAGAAACUGAGGCUUGCAUACAUUAAGCUAUUUUCCAUGGAUCACACAACUGAAGCAAGCCAGAACCAUAAUAGAUCUGUGUCUGCCUGAGUAAUUUACUUGGCAAUAUGUAAUGUAACUUUAAUCCCCAUUUUCUCUAAGUAGAGUCUUUUAUUCAUUCUACAAAUAUUUGCUGACUUUCUUCAAUAUCUAAAGCAUUGCUUCUCCUAUAUGCCAUGAAGAGCUAUUUCAAAGAUCAAGUGACGUUUCGGCUAGUAAGCUAUGAUUUCCUUCUUCAGAAUAACAACAGCCUUGAAGUAUCCAUUUUACUUGUCAUACUGUUUUCAUUUAGUCUAUACUUAAAUACUUGGCAAGAGCUGGAUUUGUCUCAGAUAAAGUAGGUAUGUGCUAAGUAUACUCUUCUUUUUCACCUGAAUAUUUUGUCUUCUAAAAAUAUUUUAAAAACAAAAAUAUCAAUUUUAGUUCUGUAGACUUAAAUGGAAUUAAUUCUGUAGAAUUAAGUUCUGUGGUUCUAUAACAUAAUAAUAUAAUAUGAUUGAACUUCAAAUAAUUAAUUCCAUUGUUUAAUGCAAUUGACCAACAUAAAUGAAAUUUUAAAAAUAAAAUUCAUUUCAGUAGAUCCUAAUUGUUCAGCUUUCUUAGAGAGAUGCUCCCAUCUUCCAUGGUCUUGAAAUACCAUAUCAUUUAGAUACACAAAUAUUGUUAUAGGACUUAAAAGUCAGGAGAUUGUUGUAACCCAAAUUGGCACUGUUUUGUUGACUUUUUUAACUAGAAAAAAGCCAUAAAACUUAUCCAAUGAGCCAUUUCAUCAUGAUUGUAUGAAGUGGGAAUGACAGAAGGAAAGAGGAAUCAAGAUUGUAUUCAACUCCUUGAUUUGGGAUGCUAGGAGAGCCCCUAUGAAGACACUUUUCAUGACCUUCUGUGUAUUCAAACUCAAAAGGAACUAACACUGCUUCACUUUCCAAAUUUACCACUGUGGGUCAAGUUCAAGAGGGAAAGAAGAGACAACACAAAGCUUCUAAAUUCAGUCAUAAAUUUUCCAUACCACGUCAUUCUAAAAAUUCCUUUCCUCUUUCACUUGAAGGGUAGUAGAAGUUAUUAUUUUUCUAGUCACUGAGGUAGAAUUCAGAAAACAUCAGUGCUUUCAAUUCUCAUCAGUGGCCAGUCAAGAAUGUGUUAAGUUGUUACUGAGUUGGGUCAGAGGCAUUCUUGGUUCUGCACUCAUGAUUGAGGCACUAUGGUACUGUAACGAAAUCAUUUUAGAUGGAUGGAUGGUUUCCUCCCACACCCGGGCAGCCUCAACUGGCUCACUCUAAUGAGGGACCUUGUGAUGUUAGGAUGGAGAACAGUAGAUGUUCAGUGAGUGAACCUCAGUUUAAUUGUCAUUUUUCCUCUGACUCAAGCCGCACACUUGACAGCUGCCAGGAGCCAGUGCUUCUAUUUCAGAACACGAGUGGCAUUCCGGUGUUACAUUUCAGUUUGUUUGUUCUCUGCCCGGAGUUUAAGACUAUAAGCCUUCUGGAAAGAGUAUGUGGAUUGCUGAAGGUUUCUAUUUUACUCGGUGGGUAAUGGUGCCAUGGAUAUUUUAGCUGCCCUGCUGGAGAAAAGCUGCCCUCAUGCCACUUCACAGUUAUACACGUUCCUGAAGGGCCCCAAAUGUUAACUGUUCUUCUGAUCCCCCAGCAAAGAACGUUGAACAGCUGCUUGGUGAUUGGUCAUAUACGGUUGUUAGGUUCUUUAAUCAUGCACACCACUUAUUAAAUAAUACCUUAUUAACUGGGAUGGUUUAUCUUAUUAUCUUAUCCUAUUCUUAAAAAAAAAAAAAAAAAAAAAAAACAAACCUUGUCUACUGUUCAGCUUAGGAAGACUCCUGAAGAUAGAUUUGUUCCAUUUGUUCCAGCUAAAGAGCAAAAGGAGGUCAUGAAACACCUUAUCUUCCCCACACCAUCCUAGUUUCUUAUCCUUUCAGCCUUUGCCAGAACUCCCUUAAGUAUAAUAAAAUGACAUUCAAACUCCUUUCUCAAAGAAACUAGUGGGGUUUUGCGUGAUUAUAAAAUCAUAUAGCAUUCAAUUUGUCUCUGAAUUUAACACGGACUUGCUUACUCACAGACACUAUAUCUAUGUAGCAGCUGACCAUUCCCAGUCUAGAAGCCCAUAGUUUAUUUUGUAACAUUGAUAAGGGAAUGCUGGAAAGAAGAAUUGUUCCCAUUGAGCUGGUGAAGAAGAAAUGCCAGACGUCCCCCUCAGCACACACACACACACACACACACACACACACACCUUUCCUUCCUUCCUUCCUUCUUUCCUUCCUUCCUUCCUUCCUUCCUUCCUUCCUUCCUUCCUUCCUUCCUUCUUUCUUUCCUUCCUCCUUUCUUCCCUCCACUUUAGUGUGGAUUUGGAGGAAUAGGCAUUCUAAAUAAUUACUUUUGGAUCACAUCUGUGGGGAGAGGGAGUCACUGAGAAAAAUAUUUCUUCAGUUAAGAAAAUGUGCUUAGUAUACUAAAACUUAGCCAGGAUCCAUAAAACAUCCAUGAGACACUGUGAGGACAUGCCCUGCUAAGCCCACAGCAAGGAGGCCAGCCACCUUCUCCAGCAUGCAGAUCAUACAAUAUAUACUAUGGCAUACUGAAUCAUUACAACAAGGACUUAGAGAAACUAUGAGGACAUUCUCUGCUAAGCCUAUAACAAGGAGGCCAUCCACCUUCUCUGAUAUUCAGUUCAUAUAGCGUAGACCAUAACACACUGAAUCAUUACAAGGAUUUGACAAAGUACUUACGGUGGUAACUAUUUCUCACAUAAGCUAAUGACACUUUCAUACGCUUAAUCCAGUAAAGACAUUAGGAAGCUCUAAACAGAACUGUGAGUGUUUGGAUACAGGAUUUGAGAAAAGGUAUAUCAUCUAUUCAACCAAGUAUCAUUAUCUCUAAGAUUCAUACUGCAGUCUUGAGUAAAAAUAAACCUCUUACGUUUCUCAUUUUAAAUUUGCCAUCUUUUUCUUCGUAGGCAACUUGGUUUUAUUUAUACUUCUUCAUAAACAUAUAUUUUCUGUCUUAAACUAUGCCAUCUCUAUGAGUAGACCUCAGAUUUUUCCCUCACUGAAUUCUAAGAUGGCAGUUAUUGCAAAGUGUGAUAAUUUUCAUCUUAGUACUUUAUGAAUUCCUCCUUGUUUGCUGUUUGGUUAUUUACAUGUGCAGCAUUUGGCUCUUAAUUACAUUGUCUCCUUUUAUUCAAAAGUAAAUCAUUUACUAUACCACGUACACUCUGUAAAUGUAAACACAUACCAUUUAAUACAGUGUGUCUAGAAAGUAUAUAUGCAUAUAUGUCAUAUGUAUUCUGCAUAUACUAUAUAUAUUGCAAUGUGAGCAUGCAGCAUACAACACUGUGCCAGAAAUAAAGUGGUAUCCAAUAUUUGUUGGCCUGAGUUGACUGAGAACUAUCUCAUCUAUGUCAACAAAUAAGAAAAAUAGCUAAUUUUAAGAACUUUACCAAUUUCUAAAAGAACCAGUAAUACAAAAAACAAGAAUUCAUUUUUAUUUCUUUACUGCUUGCAUUGACAUGAAAAUUUCAUGAGUUUAUGGACUGACCAUGCCAUUUCUUCAAAAAGCCUAGUAAAGGUAUGAGAAUACCAGCAUGUGCCUUUCCUAGAAAUAAACAUUUUAAACAGUGAAAUGAAUUUUGAGUAAAGCUUUAUGUGUGAGAUAUAGGACGCAGAAGUGACAAGUUGAGAAAUGAAGACAGAUGGAGCAAAAGUGGAGAAUUUAAAAUUCAAAAAAAUUAUGAAGGAAACACGUCUAAAAUUGGGAAAGAGAACAAGAAUAUUGUUAGUACAGCUUGAAACUGACAUGUCCCAGGCAAGACUACUCCUGGCUAAGUCUAUACAUUCCAUACUCCCAUAGCAAUUGGUUGGCUUUGUAAAAUACCAUUUACAAUAUCUCUAAUUAUUUGGUUAUUUAUCUCCCCACACACAGUAAGGAGACUGUGGGCUUUGAAAAAUAUUAUCUUAAUGCCUAAUACAGUACCUUUGACUUUGGACAAAUGAAAAUAAACAGUGUGGAACAUUUUGUAAGAAGAAAAGAUAAAAUGAUAGAAUUACUAAAGGAAGAAGAGAACAAAUGCAUAAGAAGUAUAUUCCUGGAAAACUUAUAUUAUCAAAGCUACCAUGUGUUGUUAGGUUCUUAAAUUCCAAAAUUAAUGCAUUUCUCACCAAACACAGCAGGACAAAUUACAAAUACAUUAAAAUCUGGCAGUCAUUUCUAAACUUGAAACUUUGUUCCCAAACUUCUUUUUUUAAUUUAAUUUAAAAGUAGCCUUUUCUAGAAAAGAUGUUCUGGCCUUCUGAAACAGAAUCUUUCGAGUGUAAUGUCUUCUGUCAUUUAAGAGCAGGUCUGUUGGUUUCAGUUAUUCCUAUGGAAAGCUAUUUCAUCUGGGUUCAGAAAAUGUGUUCAGGAUGUUUUUAUGCAUUUAUGUAAUGAAUGCCGUUAAAGAAGUCAUCAUACUUGCCUCCUGAAAGUAUUCAUUGUUGAGAUAAGAAGCAUUCCCACCACAACUGAUCUCAUAAAUAAACAGUAGCACACAAAACAUUAUUCUUCCAAAAUGGCAGAGUGCAUAUUACUUCUGAUAUGGCUGACAGCUACUGUAAAGUUUAGUUAUUAAUGCUCAUAUGAACACAGCACAGGCUUUGCUGAUAAAGAGUAGAAGAUAUAAGGUAGCUUAGGGGUAUAGCUUAGUUGUACAGCACUUGCCAAACUUGUAUGACAUUUUGGCUUCAGUCUCAGCACCAUAAAAGAAAUAAACAACCAUGCAUAGUUACAUAGAACUCUAGCUUCUUUUUAUACCUUGGUUGUACUAUUCUUCAAAAUGACAACUUGUUUUGACAUUGGACUGGAGGUGGCAUAUUAUAUCCUACUUUCAAGUCUCAACCAUAUGACAAGAAAUGCAUGUGUGAUGAUAACCAUGGUGCCAAACUCAAGUUCAGAAAUGUAUGAAAUCAAAAUCACAUGCAUAAGUCUGCGUGCAUCUUAAAUUGCUCAGAGUCUCAACCACAAAAGCACUUCCCUGUGAGCUUCAGUGUCUCCAGAUAAUUUCAAAAGUUAGCCCACAGACUCACAGGGAGGGACAUAUUACUUUGAGGUAUUUCCCACAGUCAAAAAUUAUGUUCAUGGCCUGGAAGGAUCAGAAAUCUAACCUAUUUUGAAACAAACAAAUGCCUCAAAGGUGAAUUUGCAACCCCAAAAGCUCAAAAUAAGUGUUAAAAAUCUUAGAUGGUCUAAAACACUCUGAAGGGAAAGCCAGGCCAUUCUUACAGCAGGGCCCAAAUCACAAUCAGAAAGCUAAUUGGUGAUUUUUAAAAUAAGAGAAGGGAGUUCAUAUGUUAAAUAAACAAUACAUGAAUAGAACCAGAUUCUAGCUUUGCUGUGUCCUGAUUUCUCUUCACAUUUCAUAGUGAAGUUAGGUGGCCUACCAGAUUCACAAGGCAGCUAAGGGCCCCCUUUAUGACAUGUGUAUUGGCCUGUUGUGGCUGGCCAAUUCCCACUCUGAUUGACAUGCUGAUAUAUAAUUCUGAGAUACCAUAUAUGACUUAGCCUAAAGUCAUAAAUGCUCUCUAUGCCAAUGUUCUUCCAAGGCAUCACAGAUUACUUCUUAUAUUGUUUUUGGUUUUGUUGUUAUUAUUUCUUUUCCAGUCAUAUAAUCACUAUCAAACUAGUCAGAGUCUCCAUCAUUUCUAAAACUAAUUUUUUACUUGGCAUACAAAAAAAAUGUGUUUCACUGUGACAAUUUCAUAGACACACACACAAACACACAAACACAAGUACAAAUUUAAGUAGCCUCUAAUAUCCUUGUGGCAAGGUCCAAACUGGUCUACUUAUUGCAAAUGUGCCCUGCUGUGCAACUUCAAUUACUACUAUACAAACCUAUAAUAAACUGUUUUUAUUUACAUUAUUUUUUAUCUUCUCAACUUCAUAUAUUCUCAAACUCUCAUGAUUCCUAGUAGCUUCAAAAUUUGUAAUUAUUUGUCUCAUAUUCAAAUUCUUUCAUAUCUGGGUCUAAUUUUUUAUUUUUCUAAUUCACACUAUCUUCACUUUAUCGAGUGCUAUUUUCUCGCUUGUGCCUUCUGAAAUCCAUGCCUCAGCUCAUUCCUGAGAUUAAGAAAACAUCUGCCUUCUCUGGGAAAAUACCUCUGUGGCAGUCCAAGUGUGAAAAGGGCACUUCAGUUCUUUAGCUUCACUUCCAUUAGUUCAUCUGGAAGUGGUUGUUUGUUCAGAACUCCAUGUAAAAAGCACUUAUGCCAAACACCAACACAUUUUCUUUCUUCAUUAUCUUGCUAUCAAGAGGAUUCAAGAAACAAAUGUUUAGAAGUGAUUCCAUCUGCUUGAAGGUAAAAUUGUUGUAAUUCUUAUAGCCUAAGAUUGAACUUGACAAACAUUGCCCUUAAUGUUUGAGAGAGCUUGACAUGUCUUGGGAUAUUUAUUGGUAUUUAAUAAUGUCUUUUUCUGGGGCUUUGGAAUGAUUUCAUCAACUUAAGAUACCCUUCAAUAUUUAUCUUUUUCUUCACCAUUUAAUAUUACAGAUGAAAAU
Peromyscus californicus insignis is the source of this 11101-nucleotide long non-coding RNA. RefSeq lists it as uncharacterized. The transcript is spliced from 4 exons. The record is from RefSeq and is a predicted model, not a curated record. NCBI's taxonomy places the organism in Eukaryota, Metazoa, Chordata, Mammalia, Rodentia, Cricetidae.